CAGUAGCCGCGGUAAAACGAAGGGUGCAAGCGUUAAUCAGAAUUACUGGGCGUAAAGCGUGCGUAGGCGGUUUGUUAAGUCUGCUGUGAAAUCCCCGGGCUCAACCUGGGAAUGGCAGUGGAUACUGGCAAGCUAGAGUGUGUCAGAGGAUGGUGGAAUUCCCGGUGUAGCGGUGAAAUGCGUAGAGAUCGGGAGGAACAUCAGUGGCGAAGGCGGCCAUCUGGGACAACACUGACGCUGAGGCACGAAAGCGUGGGGAGCAAACAGGAUUAGAUACCCCCGUAGUCCCUGUCUCUUAUAC
RNAcentral lists this ribosomal RNA (301 nucleotides) under uncultured bacterium. RNAcentral describes it as "partial 16S ribosomal RNA". It matches the Rfam family "Bacterial small subunit ribosomal RNA", at positions 509 to 807 of the family's 1533-position model. The record is from RNAcentral.